AUGUCCAUCUCUAAAUUUAGAGGUGGGAUGGGUUUCAAGGAUCUGCAAUUAUUUAAGGAUGCUAUGCUAGCAAAACAAGCUUGGCGGUUGCUCGACAAGCCUGAGAGUUUAUGUGCUAGAGUCCUUCGAGGACGCUACUUUCCAGAGGGGAAUUUCUUGCAGGCGGGUUGCCCCGCUGGUGCUUCAACAACCUGGAGAGCUAUAUGUCAAGGA
RNAcentral lists this ribosomal RNA (213 nucleotides) under Triticum aestivum (bread wheat). RNAcentral describes it as "partial small subunit ribosomal RNA". Lineage: Eukaryota; Viridiplantae; Streptophyta; Magnoliopsida; Poales; Poaceae. The record is from RNAcentral.